Bradysia coprophila is the source of this 2685-nucleotide long non-coding RNA. The record is from RefSeq and is a predicted model, not a curated record. NCBI's taxonomy places the organism in Eukaryota, Metazoa, Arthropoda, Insecta, Diptera, Sciaridae.
GGAGAAAUUGUUUGAAUAAGGGUGCUGGAAAUCAUUGAAUUUUCAGAGUGUUAUUGGCAGCGAAACAAUUCGAACGUAUUUUGCUGGCUGGAAAGCAACCUCUGAUGGCUGGCUUCAUUUAGCCAACCAUUAGAUUGAAUUCUUCACUAAAUCGAAUACUACUGGCGACAAAAGAACACCGCCACAGUUCGCUUGGAAAAGAUAUAAUUCCGAGUUAAUAACAGACCAGUUGCACUCUCAAUAGGUAAACGGAAGAUGAUUUUUUUUCUUUUUUUUUCAUUCGAUUUUGUGGAGAAAAUUCCCUGUAAUGUAUUCGAAGCACUGUUGAGUUUGUAAACAUUCAAUAAUCGAUUUGUCGAAAGUACAAUUUUCAGACCUGACACCAAACGAAAAUUGAAUUUGAGUAUCCACUCGAACUUGUGUGCAUUCGGGAACACGGUCUACAACUACAUUCAAUUUUGUUUCUUUUUCAUUUGAAUAUUCUUUAACCAAACGGCUGUCUGCAAAUCAAUAUUUAAAUCUGUUUUGCCAACCGAUAUGCUAUGAAAUUGUUCUUGAAUUUCUUUAGUUCGCUCCAAGUUUUGUUUAUCUUAGUUUCUUACCCUAGAUGUCCUUGAAAGGUCCAAAUUUUUUUUUAUCAAUGUUUGUUUGCACUACAAUGUCUGUAACUUGUGUUUCGUUUCAGGGAGUUGCGGGAAAUGUUAAAACUCAACUAAAAACAAGAAUGAUAUAUUCGUGCGAGCCCGAAUAGGAUAAAAUUUACCUGAUUCUAUUAUGUACUUUUACAACGUCCACUUCAAAUUUCGUGAUAUUUCGCUAAUUUUAAUCAAAUACUUGGAAGAAUACUCUAAAUUCUUUCUCCUGUUUACCAUGACGAUGACCCAUGAUCCGUAAUGAGCAAACAUGAAUUUUGAAAAAAUUCGAUUUGAAUCUGACUUUUAGACAUUACGAGAAGUGAUUCAAUUAAAAAAUGCAUUUCGUAAAUAAUUUUCAAAAAGUAAUCUGUUUCUUUCGAACGUUGCAAGAAUAAAUUCAAAACCAAUAAAUAAAAAUUCCAUUUAGUUACUUAUCUGCGCAAUCAUUGUUCGUUCGUCAAAAAAUAAUUUCAAAUUCGAAUAGUCUAUCCUUUCAAACAAAAGUGUUGUAUUUUUGUAAGAUUUGUACACGAAUCCUCCAAACGCUCUCACAAACACAUUCACUUCACAUGUGUUUCGCAUGUGUUUCACAUGUAUUCCGCAUUUGUUUCACAUUCGGCAUUCAAAUGUGAAUUAAAUGUACAUCACAUUUCGUUUAAUCGUCACAUUUGCACAAUUAGCGAUGAAUUUCAUCAAACUUUUGUCACAUCCUAAUACUUUGGACCCAAAUGCACCGAUAUGUGCAAUAAAAUUGAAUACAUUGUGUUAUUAUAAGGCCAAAUGUGCGGAUCACAUAUGGGCAAAUGUGUCAUAUCAGGCAAAUUUGGCCAUUUUGCAUGCUCACAUUCACCUAAAUUAAAAAUUAUUUUUGUCAAAACUCAAUUGCAACCUGAUUCUAUGUUCCUUAAACUAUUUAAAUGUGGUGUAGAUGUGUCAAAAUAUUGCGUAGAUUUGCUGUACGUGCUAAUCAAACAUUUUUUGUCGUCACAUUUGAUUCACAGGAGAUGUACAUUUGAUGUACAUUUGAUGUACAUGUGAUGUACAUGUGAUUUACAUUGUAUGCCAUAUUAAACGAACAUGUUUUGAGUGCGUUCAAAGAGGAGAGUGUUUAGUGACAAGUCGAUAUGAACGUCUACACUGAUGUAAUUGGCACAGAAUUUUUGAACACUUUUAUAAAAAGCUUUCUUUCUGCAUUUUUAGUGAAAUUUGAAAUUUUAUUGAUCGUUUACCAACGGCGACUUAUUCGUUCGAAUAAAAUGAUUUUUUUAAGCAGCAAUUAUGAAAACUAAAUUUUUAUUCUUAUUUUGUUUGUAUGUCGAAAAACGAGAUUCAUUGUGACUCUAGUUUAUGUUCACUCAUAUUUUCAUGGUUCCUGAGAUCAGAUUUUUGAAGAAUAAAAAAUCAAUCAACGAGGAAUUUUUUCAAUGUUCUAUUGUUGUUAAUGCUAGAUUUGUUGAAUAAAUGUUCUGGGUAAAAUAUUAAAGUAAACAAAAUAAAAGUUAAUUUGAUCGAAUUUGUUGCAAGCUACGAAUACAUUCUUGCCUUUAGAUAGUAGUUAACAUUUCCCGCAACUCCCAGAAAUAAAUAAAAAAUGGAAAAAAUACAAAAAAUUGUCUACGCGUUCCGGUGGAUUCGAAAUUGCGCUCAGAUUUGUUAUUCUAUUAGAUGAAAUGAGAAGAAGAGAGGACAGAUAGUAUCAAAUUGAAACUUACGACAUCUUCGACUUAAUCUAAUGUGCACGAUAACAAGUGAGACUGUUUGUGUAAAUUAUUGUGCGUACACAGCAGCAUUUUUCGCAAUUUGUAGAACCCAACUAAGAACCCCUUGUGUACAAUCGUACAGCAUUAUUUAACGUUACCCACCACAAAGCCCUCGACAAUUUCCCCAGCGCUCAAGUCUCAUCUGAUGCCGCAGAUGAGAUUCGAACCUUGGUACCUCUGCGCAUGAGGCAAGCAGUUUGCCAGUGCGCCAAAGAGAGAGGUGCUUGACAAAUUUUAAAACUUUUACAUUUGAAAACUAUCUCAUUUGAAGUUGGGUUACAUUAAAUUGC